AUACGGAGGGUGCAAGCGUUAUUCGGAAUUACUGGGCGUAAAGGGCGCGCAGGCGGCCUGUUAAGUCAGUUGUGAAAGCCCGGGGCUCAACCCCGGAAGUGCGACUGAAACUGGCGGGCUUGAGUAUGGGAGAGGGAAGUGGAAUUCCUGGUGUAGCGGUGAAAUGCGUAGAUAUCAGGAGGAACACCAGUGGCGAAGGCGACUUCCUGGACCAAUACUGACGCUGAGGCGCGAAGGCGUGGGGAGCAAACAGGAUUAGAUACCCUGGUAGUCCACGCAGUAAACGGUGAUCACUAGGUGUUGCGGGCUUUGAUGCCUGCAGUGCCGGAGCAAACGCAUUAAGUGAUCCGCCUGGGGAGUACGGCCGCAAGGUUAAA
Molecule: ribosomal RNA, 377 nt
Filed under: uncultured bacterium
Lineage: Bacteria
Description: bacterial SSU rRNA
Rfam family: Bacterial small subunit ribosomal RNA
Source: RNAcentral